Cataglyphis hispanica is the source of this 585-nucleotide long non-coding RNA. RefSeq lists it as uncharacterized. The record is from RefSeq and is a predicted model, not a curated record. Lineage: Eukaryota; Metazoa; Arthropoda; Insecta; Hymenoptera; Formicidae. The transcript is spliced from 2 exons.
ACCUGAUAUUGCGAGCGAUAAGUCGAACGGACAUGCGACGGCUACGACCACGAGCGCCGAAACUCAAUAGUCAGAUAAACAUAUCGAUCGACAAUUCUCAGAAGAAUUGUUGUUAAAAAUCUUUCUUCUCAGAAGUCCUUCACUGAAUCAUUCUAAGAAUCUUCCAGAGCGCGACGCGUGUGCUGCGCACGGCCCGAAGACCCUUUGUUUCGACAGUAUAUAAGCCGGCGAUUUCGAACCUUCGGGGCAUCAAAUCGGGCAGUCAAAUCGGGCAGUCAAAUCGGAACAGUCAAAUCGGGCAGUCAAAUCGGAGCAGUCAGUUCGAGCAUUCAGUUCGGGGCAUUACAUUCAGUCAAUUCAGCAUUACGUUCAUUGCAGUCAAUUCAGAGCUCUUCAAACAUUCGAAUCAUUUAUUCUUAGCUAACAUUAUUCAUUAUUAAUUCCUUACUAUUUCGUAUAAGUAUUCGCUCCGUAUUAUUCGUUCAUUGUUCGCGUACUAUUCACUAUUCCAUUUCGAUUAAUAUAAUUGUCGAUUCAGUAUUAAGUUGUGUAAAACUAAGGAAAUAAUAAAAAACUUUGUGCAUA